Molecule: ribosomal RNA, 479 nt
Filed under: uncultured bacterium
Lineage: Bacteria
Description: bacterial SSU rRNA
Rfam family: Bacterial small subunit ribosomal RNA
Source: RNAcentral
GGACGAACGCUGGCGGCGUGCCUAAUACAUGCAAGUCGAACGGACGAUGGGGCUUCGGCCCCAAAGUUAGUGGCGAACGGGUGAGUAACGCGUGAGCAACCUGACUCAAAGAGGGGGACAACAGCUGGAAACGGCUGCUAAUACCGCAUAAGACCACAGCGCGGCAUCGCAAAGGGGUCAAAGAAUUAUCGCUCUGAGAGGGGCUCGCGUCCCAUUAGAUAGUUGGUGAGGUAACGGCCCACCAAGUCCGCGAUGGGUAGCCGAGCUGAGAGGCUGAUCGGCCACACUGGAACUGAGACACGGUCCAGACUCCUACGGGAGGCAGCAGUAGGGAAUAUUGGGCAAUGGGCGCAAGCCUGAACCCCAGCAACGCCGCGUGAGGGAAGAAGGUUUUCGGAUUGUAAACCUCUGUCCUAUGUGACGAAGGAAGUGACGGUAGCAUAGGAGGAAGCCCCGGCUAACUACGUGCCAGCAGCAGC